UUUGUAUUACGUGCGGAAAUUGUUACCAUUUCCAGCUCAAAAAUGGUAACAAUUUCCGCACGUAAUACAAA
Non-coding RNA from Paramuricea clavata, 71 nucleotides. NCBI's taxonomy places the organism in Eukaryota, Metazoa, Cnidaria, Anthozoa, Malacalcyonacea, Plexauridae. The record is from the annotation of a GenBank genome assembly.